GGGUUCCUGGCAUGCUGAUUUGUGAUUUAAGAUUAAAAUCACAUUGCCAGGGAUUACCAC
This 60-nucleotide microRNA precursor is filed under the name Chrysemys picta bellii (western painted turtle). Its description in RNAcentral is "Cpi-Mir-23-P2_pre stem-loop". It matches the Rfam family "mir-23 microRNA precursor family", at positions 9 to 65 of the family's 73-position model. RNAcentral also lists the same sequence under 1 other name. The record is from RNAcentral. Lineage: Eukaryota; Metazoa; Chordata; Testudines; Emydidae.